GAUGUAAUUACAUUAAAAAAAAAUUAUUUGCCAUAUAACAAUAAUAACCAUACUAAUAAUAAUUAUAUAGAAUAUGAUAUUAAAAAUGAUAGUGAUAGAAAUUUUAAUAAAUGGAAUAACGAGAAUAACAACAAUGAUAAUAAUAACAAUAGUAAUAUUAAAAAUUAUAAUAACGACAUACAUGAUAAUAAACGAGUUUAUUAUCAAAAUGGGUGUCCAUAUUAUUUAAAUAUAGAUAUGCAAAAAAAUACGAAUAUGCAUGAUAAAUAUAAUUAUGAUAGUUUCAACAAUGGUUCAAACAAUAGCAAUGAUUUUUAUAACCAAUCAAAUGCUUAUAUAAAUAAUGACGUAUUAUAUAAUAAUGCAAAAGAUGAAGAUGCUGUUUACAUAAAACCAAAUAAUAUAAAUAUAAGAGCUUCAACACAAGAAAUAAUAAAUCGGAGCGAAUAUACAGUUACUGCAGCAGCAGCACCCCUUCCCUCACCAACACCUACACUACCAGCUUUAGAAUUAUGCCUAUCAUCAUCAAACCAACAGGUACGCUCACCACCACCAGAACAAUCGGUAUGCUUACCAUCAUCAGAACAAUCGAUAUGCUUAUUACCACCAGAACAAUCAGUAUCUUUACCACCACCAGAACAAUCGGUAUCCUUACCACCGUCAGACCAUUCGACAUGCUUACCACCGUCAGAACAAUCUGUAUCCAUACCAUCGUCAGACCAAGUUGUAUGUUUAUCUUCAGAUCAACCGACAUGCAUAGUACCCCCAGAUCAACCGAUAUGUAUUUCACCACAUUAUCACCUUAAAUACACAUCAGUAGACUUACCCACACCACUUUCCACGCACAACCGGAGUAUAAUAAAUAAUAAUUUGACAAGUAGUAAUAACGAAAUAAAAGAAAAAAACGAAACUAACUAUUAUCAAAUUGCACCAAAUAAUACUAACAUAAACUUAGGUAUUAUACAAAAUGACACGGACUAUUCUUUCAAUUUAAAAAACAGCAAGUUUAUGCACAAAGAAUACACGAUUAAUGUUAGAAAC
Molecule: long non-coding RNA, 1041 nt
Filed under: Piliocolobus tephrosceles (Ugandan red Colobus)
Lineage: Eukaryota; Metazoa; Chordata; Mammalia; Primates; Cercopithecidae
Description: lncRNA (ENSPTEG00000004791.1)
Source: RNAcentral